Molecule: long non-coding RNA, 540 nt
Filed under: Androctonus crassicauda
Lineage: Eukaryota; Metazoa; Arthropoda; Arachnida; Scorpiones; Buthidae
Source: RNAcentral
CGUUGAUAGGCAUAUCUCAUCUGCUCUGUACAUAUGGAAUUAAAAUUGUGUUAGAACUUAUGCUACUUUAGAAACAUUAAGUGUAUGGCUGCCUUUUGAAAUACUGGACGUGUUGUUGCCUUACAGAGGACUACAAAUACAAAGCAAAUGGCUGUUUUAAAAUUAUGUAAAUAAGUCACAAGCUAGUUGUCUGAAAACUCUUAAGUCCCUUUAAUUUUGAUAGAAUUUUUUUCUUACUAGGAGGUCCAGGAUGUUUUGUUUCGUGGAAAGCAGUAUAGGAAGUGGAGGUAAGCUGAGCAGUAGGCAAGAGCCUUCACAGAAAGUCACUGGUAAUGAGUUUUAAAGCAAGUACUGUAGAUUAUGAUUUUCUCUCUAAGAAAGUAUGGCCUUUACAAAAAAUGAAUGGUUUGCUCUUUGUGAACACACAAUUAUGGAUUUCAUAGAGAUAUUAACAGCUCUUCAUGUAGACACAAUUUUGAAAAGGAUAUUAUGUUAGAAAAAUUUCAAACUACGUCUCCCAAACAAAAUGGGAAACCUUAG